CCUACGGGAGGCAGCAGUGGGGAAUAUUGCACAAUGGGGGAAACCCUGAUGCAGCGACGCCGCGUGAGCGAAGAAGUACCUCGGUAUGUAAAGCUCUAUCAGCAGGGAAGAAAGUGACAGUACCUGACUAAGAAGCCCCGGCUAACUACGUGCCAGCAGCCGCGGUAAU
Molecule: ribosomal RNA, 169 nt
Filed under: uncultured bacterium
Lineage: Bacteria
Description: partial 16S ribosomal RNA
Rfam family: Bacterial small subunit ribosomal RNA
Source: RNAcentral